Molecule: microRNA precursor, 72 nt
Filed under: Carlito syrichta (Philippine tarsier)
Lineage: Eukaryota; Metazoa; Chordata; Mammalia; Primates; Tarsiidae
Description: microRNA 665 (ENSTSYG00000033132.1)
Rfam family: mir-665 microRNA precursor family
Source: Rfam by way of RNAcentral
UCUCCUUGAGGGGUCUCUGCCUCUACCCAGGACUCUUUCAUGACCAGGAGACUGAGGCCCCUCACAGGCGGC